Molecule: non-coding RNA, 21 nt
Filed under: Caenorhabditis elegans
Lineage: Eukaryota; Metazoa; Nematoda; Chromadorea; Rhabditida; Rhabditidae
Source: RNAcentral
UAUCCUUUCUUAGAAUCCAAG